AUUAGCUAGUUGGUGGGGUAAUGGCCUACCAAAGCAACGAUCAGUAGCCGGCCUGAGAGGGUGAACGGCCACACUGGAACUGAGACACGGUCCAGACUCCUACGGGAGGCAGCAGUGGGGAAUAUUGCACAAUGGGGGAAACCCUGAUGCAGCAACGCCGCGUGAGCGAUGAAGGCUUUCGAGUCGUAAAGCUCUGUCCUAAGGGAAGAUAAUGACGGUACCUUAGGAGGAAGCCCCGGCUAACUACGUGCCAGCAGCCGCGGUAAUACGUAGGGGGCAAGCGUUAUCCGGAAUUAUUGGGCGUAAAGGGUGCGUAGGCGGCCUUAUGGGUCAGAGGUUAAAUACUACGGCUUAACCGUAGUAUGCCUUUGAAACUAUAGGGCUUGAGUGCAGGAGAGGAGAGUGGAAUUCCUAGUGUAGCGGUGAAAUGCGUAGAUAUUAGGAGGAAUACCAGUGGCGAAGGCGACUCUCUGGACUGCAACUGACGCUAAGGCACGAAAGCGUGGGUAGCGAACAGGAUUAGAUACCCUGGUAGUCCACGCUGUAAACGAUGAGUGCUAGGUGUUGGGGGUCAAACCUCGGUGCCGCAGUUAACGCAUUAA
This 602-nucleotide ribosomal RNA is filed under the name uncultured bacterium. Its description in RNAcentral is "bacterial SSU rRNA". It matches the Rfam family "Bacterial small subunit ribosomal RNA", at positions 240 to 863 of the family's 1533-position model. The record is from RNAcentral.